Molecule: long non-coding RNA, 544 nt
Organism: Homo sapiens (human)
Lineage: Eukaryota; Metazoa; Chordata; Mammalia; Primates; Hominidae
Product: long intergenic non-protein coding RNA 3064
Source: Ensembl
GAGUGUUUCUGUGCAAUGCAAAUUGCUUUGGCUUCCACACAGCUCCUGUCGCUUCAAGUGCGGAUGGUUAAUGGGACCUGGACUGGAAAAGGAUUGUUUGUGUGGGAAUCAUUCAUGGCAAAGGCAGUGACACCUCCUUCAAAAACCUGUGUCUUUCUGGCAGAGUGUUGCUGGAGAUGGCCACUGGAGAGGCUGAGUCAAAUCAAUCUCCUCACCUGAGGACUUCCUAAGACCAGCGCACUGAAGGACCAGCAGCAACAACAACAAUAAUGCUAAUGCUCCCUUAUGGACAAGACUGCAAUUCUCUGCCUGCUGAAGCUCAGCUAUGACCACGUGACUUGCCUUGGCCAAUGAAAGAGGAAGAGUAUGUAACACUGCUGAAUGGAAGCAAGUGGCCCCUGCCCCUGCUGCAGAGAUUCUAGACAUGUGUGCCAUGCUGGAGCAAGGAGACAGGGAGUCCUGGAGAAAGGAGACAUGGAACAGAGCUCCCAGCCCAGUCAAUAUGUAACAUGAGUGAGAAAUAAAUAACACUUUGUUGCUAGAA